GACGAACGCUGGCGGCGUGCUUAACACAUGCAAGUCGAACGGAAAGGCCCUGCUUUUGUGGGGUGCUCGAGUGGCGAACGGGUGAGUAACACGUGAGUAACCUGCCCUUGAUUUUGGGAUAACUUCAGGAAACUGGGGCUAAUACCGGAUAGGAGCUCCUGCUGCAUGGUGGGGGUUGGAAAGUUUCGGCGGUUGGGGAUGGACUCGCGGCUUAUCAGCUUGUUGGUGGGGUAGUGGCUUACCCAGGCUUUGACGGGUAGCCGGCCUGAGAGGGUGACCGGCCACAUUGGGACUGAGAUACGGCGCAGACUCCUACGGGAGGCAGCAGUGGGGAAUAUUGCACAAUGGGCGGAAGCCUGAUGCAGCAACGCCGCGUGCGGGAUGACGGCCUUCGGGUUGUAAACCGCUUUCGCCUGUGACGAAGCGUGAGUGACGGUAAUGGGUAAAGAAGCACCGGCUAACUACGUG
RNAcentral lists this ribosomal RNA (468 nucleotides) under uncultured bacterium. RNAcentral's name for it is "partial 16S ribosomal RNA". It matches the Rfam family "Bacterial small subunit ribosomal RNA", at positions 28 to 507 of the family's 1533-position model. The record is from RNAcentral.